This 392-nucleotide RNase P RNA is filed under the name Streptococcaceae bacterium. RNAcentral's name for it is "RNase P RNA component class B". It matches the Rfam family "Bacterial RNase P class B". From Rfam's summary of the family: Ribonuclease P (RNase P) is a ubiquitous endoribonuclease, found in archaea, bacteria and eukarya as well as chloroplasts and mitochondria. Its best characterised activity is the generation of mature 5'-ends of tRNAs by cleaving the 5'-leader elements of precursor-tRNAs. The record is from RNAcentral. Lineage: Bacteria; Bacillati; Bacillota; Bacilli; Lactobacillales; Streptococcaceae.
GUUUUUGGAUAAUUGCGCGAUUUCUUGCUUGUCUUGUGAAUCGUGAGGAAAGUCCAUGCUCGCGCGAGCUGAGAUGCUCGCAGUGUUUGUGCUAGGCGAAACCAUAAGCCUAGGUAGGUGUGUCAGACCUAACGGCUGAAUUUUAGCUAAGUUUUCCUUGUGAAGAUAAGCGACAAAUUCUGUAAAAGUGCCAUAGAGACGAGUUGCUUUGGAAACUUAGCAAGUGGAACGUGGUAAACCCCUCAAGCGAGCAACCCAAACUUAUGGUAGGGGCACUUGCCAAGCGGAAGUGAACGUACGGCGAGGCUGGGUUUAGCAUGACUAAACUUGGCAGACAGAUGAUUAUCGAAGGUUGGUGCAACGCCAACUGGAACAAAACAUGGCUUAUAGAA